RNAcentral lists this ribosomal RNA (35 nucleotides) under Aspergillus aculeatus. RNAcentral describes it as "partial 28S ribosomal RNA". The record is from RNAcentral. Lineage: Eukaryota; Fungi; Ascomycota; Eurotiomycetes; Eurotiales; Aspergillaceae. RNAcentral also lists the same sequence under 33 other names.
UUGACCUCGGAUCAGGUAGGGAUACCCGCUGAACU